CCUACGGGAGGCAGCAGUGGGGAAUAUUGCACAAUGGGGGAAACCCUGAUGCAGCGACGCCGCGUGAGUGAAGAAGUAUUUCGGGAUGUAAAGCUCUAUCAGCAGGAACGAGACAAGACGGUACCUGACUAAGAAGCCCCGGCUAACUACGUGCCAGCAGCCGCGGUAAUAAGUAGGGGGCAAGCGUUAUCCGGAAUCACUGGGUGUAAAGGGAGCGUAGACGGCUGUGCAAGCCUGAAGUGAAAGGCGGGGGCCCAACCCCUGGACUGCUUUGGGAACUGUACGGCUGGAGUGCAGGAGGGGUAAGUGGAAUUCCUAGUGUAGCGGUGAAAUGCGUAGAUAUUAGGAGGAACACCAGUGGCGAAGGCGGGUUACUGGACUGUAACUGACGUUGAGGCUCGAAGGCGUGGGGAGCAAACAGGAUUAGAUACCCCAGUAGUC
RNAcentral lists this ribosomal RNA (441 nucleotides) under uncultured bacterium. Its description in RNAcentral is "partial 16S ribosomal RNA". It matches the Rfam family "Bacterial small subunit ribosomal RNA", at positions 338 to 795 of the family's 1533-position model. The record is from RNAcentral.